RNAcentral lists this ribosomal RNA (397 nucleotides) under uncultured bacterium. RNAcentral describes it as "partial 16S ribosomal RNA". It matches the Rfam family "Bacterial small subunit ribosomal RNA", at positions 523 to 918 of the family's 1533-position model. The record is from RNAcentral.
AUACGUAGGUGACAAGCGUUAUCCGGAUUUACUGGGCGUAAAGGGCGUGUAGGCGGUCUUGCAAGUCAGAAGUGAAAUUCCUGAGCUCAACUCGGGCGCUGCUUCUGAAACUGCAGGACUUGAGUGCUGGAGGGGAUAGCGGAAUUCCUAGUGGAGCGGUAAAAUGCGCAGAUAUUAGGAAGAACACCGGUGGUAAAGGCGGAUAUCUGGACAGUAACUGACGCUGAGUCGCGAAAUCGUGGGGAGCAAACAGGAGUGGAUACCCUGUUCGUCCACGCCGUAAACGAUGAAUACUAGGUGUAGUGGGUAUCGACUCCCUCUGUGCCGCAGUUAACACAAUAAGUAUUCCGCCUGGGGAGUACGGCCGCAAGGUUGAAACUCAAAUGAAUUGACGGGG